AAUAUUGCGCAAUGGAGGGAACUCUGACGCAGCGACGCCGCGUGAGCGAUGAAGGUUNNNGGAUUNUCAAGCUCUGUCCUUGGNGACNAAGAGCGCUGUUAAGCGACUUUAACGGUACCCAAAGAUGAAGCCCCGGCCAACUAAGUGACAGCAGCCGCGGUAAGACGUAGGGGGCAAGCGUUGUUCGGAAUUAUUGGGCGUAAAGGGUUCGUAGGCGGCCUUUUAAGUCAGAUGUGAAAGACCACGGCUUAACCGUGGGGUUGCAUUUGAAACUGGAGGGCUUGAGUAUCGGAGAGGGUAGUGGAAUUCCCAGUGUAGCGGUGGAAUGCGUAGAUAUUGGGAGGAACACCAGUGGCGAAGGCGACUACCUGGACGAAAACUGACGCUGAGGCACGAAAGCUAGGGGAGCAAGC
RNAcentral lists this ribosomal RNA (413 nucleotides) under uncultured bacterium. Its description in RNAcentral is "partial 16S ribosomal RNA". It matches the Rfam family "Bacterial small subunit ribosomal RNA", at positions 360 to 773 of the family's 1533-position model. The record is from RNAcentral.